Corvus hawaiiensis (hawaiian crow) is the source of this 5784-nucleotide long non-coding RNA. RefSeq lists it as uncharacterized. Lineage: Eukaryota; Metazoa; Chordata; Aves; Passeriformes; Corvidae. The record is from RefSeq and is a predicted model, not a curated record. The transcript has 4 exons.
UUACUGUGGUAUCUUUGCUGAAGAUAUUUUCUCGUCAGUGCUUGUCAAAUUUUGAUUCAUAAAAGCUGAUUUUUCUUAGAAACCUGCCUUCUUUCACAGCACCAUCUGCUGGUGCUUCCUGGGUCCCGUGGCUGCUGCUGGAGAGCUGCAUUCCUCUGCAUUCUCCAGAGGAGUGGAAGGGCCUGGCGAUGUUCACUGCAGCUCGGUUGUGUUGUGAACCAUAACAACAUUUCUGUAGCUAAACUUCUGUUCAGUAUCCAUUCGUCCUGCCAGAGUCUGCUUUCUGAAGCUUUUCCUUCCUUUUCCAAGAGAAUUCGAACUUGAGAUGCAGUGAAGCAACUCUCAAAUUGCAGUCAUCCAGAAGUAACUGGGUAAUGCAUCCAGAGCUGCCUGAAAUGGACUCUGAAGGGAGUUUGAUGAGUUGAAGCAGCAAUGCAUACAAGAAAUAGCUCACAUCCUUGACAUCCUGGUUCCUUUGUACAAAGGGAUGCAGAGAAUUCAGGGGUGACCCUAUCUCCCCAUACGAUCAGCAUGCACACAGAGAUGUCACCAGAGAUGUAGUCUCAUCAUGAGAACAGGACACCAGAAAUAAGGUGAGCUGCUUAAAUUCAAGAAGGCUUCAACUCUUCUGAAACUCCCACUGCUGUAUGAUCCAGAGUGGAAUGCCUUCAUGUAAGAUGCUCCAUUCAUUUCGUCCUAAAACCAAGAAAUUAGAGACUCUGAGGAGCUGCAUUACCAGCACGCCUUUGAGAAUUUGAGGAUGUGUCAUUGCUAACCAUUUUGGACCAGCUGGUCACAGCAUUAUGAACUGUUGCUAGAAAAAUAUUAUGUUUUCAUAUUACAAGGGUGUAAUUUGCUGUGUCAUCGCUGCGUACUAAAAUCUAAAAGGCAGAAUGUGAUUCAGAGGGUGCAUGGAACACAAACCACCUCCUCAGAAGGCAAAAAUCUCUGCUGAAGAGCAGCAAUGCUCCCAAGUAUGACUGAUAAACGUGAGUUUUGUCGUGAGCUAAAUGGCAAAAUAUGGACCCUGCACCAAGGCUUUGCUCAGCAUGGUGCAUAAUUCCCUGAUUUGUCUGCUAGCAGGCUGGUUUAUGGUAAUGAAAUCAUGGCAGUGGGAAGAAAGAAAAAGUCUUGCAAAAUUUCUGAGUUAUUCUCUCCAGAUGGCUUGGAAGGAAGGUCUGGUGUCAUCGUGAUAUUUGCCUAAUAACUCUGAAAUGAUCAGUUGAGGUGGAUGAGUGUACUCUCAAAUUAGUACAUGUGUGGAAAUAUGCUCCUCCCCAACCUUUCCACCCAGACAGGUUGGUUAUGUGUGACAAUCACAUUAUGAGCCAGGAACUCAAGCUUAGUGCUACCUUAUGAAGUAGACUAGGGGAAAACUGGCUGAGUAAGAAGAAUGUUAUACUGCAAAAUGGGAGGGAAGGUGUCCUGAAUACUCUUCCUCCUCUCUGCUCCAGCCCACAGCAAGAGCUGGGCACAAGUCCUGCUCUGAGGGGCAUCUCACUUGUAUCUGUUAUGAUUUUAAAACAUAAGGCAUUGAGAUCUCUUUUUAAAUUCAGUGCCCUGACAGAGUAAGGUACUGGUCAAGGUGACUAUGGAUGGUAGUACUGACCCACAAGCAAUUUUUCCCUGCCAUGACCUAGGGACAUGUCAAGGGUUGCCCUUCCCUCUUUUUUUCUCAGGGAGCGCAAGUUAAAAAUCAGGAUAAUUGCACAGCAAAAAUGCUUUCCAUCUCACUCCUUUAUUUACUUUUUUUUCAUGAUUUCCUUCCACUCCCAGAUGAAGGAAUGUAGGCUGUUUGAAGAGCUGAUCUGCUCGGGUGGGGCAUUAACUUAAUUUGAAGCAUUGCUGAAUAUUUAGUCAUGUUCUGUAGGAGUAUUAGAAUCAGAAAAUUCUUGGAUUCCUAACAAACUCUGCACGUGUACACGAUCUCCAGAAAGAGAACAAGUGUUUAAAAACAAGGCUCUGUACACAAUUCUGAAGUAAUUUAAAUAUAAGAUAUAUAUAUAUAUAUAUAAUUUAAGUUAAAAACAUCUUGCAGUACUACAUUACUGACAGCUGAAAGUCAGACACCAACUGUGAUGGCAUAGAUCUGUAAAGUGCUUUAGGGAAAAAUUACUAACUGGUAUAAAUCUGAUUUUAAAAUAAAGAUAGCAGAAAGAGAAGUUUGAGUUAAUUUAAGUAGGAACAUGCCAUUUACAAACAGAAGUCUCUUCCCAUGGUCAAACUGGUCCACCAAUGGUGGUUUAGCAAGGUAGCUCUCUUCUUUUUAAAUCCAUUAGCUUGUGCUGUGGGAUGUGGCACCUUGCUUUUGUGACUUGCAUCUUCUAAUUGGGACAUUUCCAAAGUCUGCUAAUGGCUGUAAAUGGGUCAGAACCAAGUUUCUCUUCUCUCAACGAUUUUAUGUUUUCAAAAAUUUUCUCAUUUUGGACAAGGAUGAACAUGAGUGCUUAAAUGAGUAUUUAAUGCAGGGCUUACAGAAGUGUUUUCAGUAUGGAAUCACUUUGUCCCCCAUUUUCUCAGAGUAAUAGAUAUACACCUUCUUUUUAGAAAAGCAUGACUGCCUGUUUAGGUGAUGACUUUAUAGAUAGGCCUGUUUCUGAUCCUCCAGACUCAGACUAGAGAUGGAAGUCAUGCAAAGCAUACUGGAGUGGUGUGAAAUCAGAACUGAACGUAGCAUUUUCAAACCAGGCCGACUCAGAGUUCACAAACACUGGCUUCUGGCUCUUUCAGUACCAGACUUCAGAGGAAAGUAGAAAUUGUUUGUAAAGCAUAAAUACUGUAUAGUGAAUACACCUGCACUGUGUGAAAAAUGAGCUCAAAGCUGAUAACAGAUCUGAAAUCAGCCUAUUUAUCCAACUUCCAUGGAUAGUUUUCCAGCUGCAGCUCCAGAGCCACAGUUGAUAUAUAGUCAUCUUAAUAUAUCCUGGAGAGGCAGAACGAAGCAAUUAGCUGCCUAAGCUCUAUCAGAUAUACUCGCCCCUAUGUGUCCACAAAACUGCUGCUGUGAAAGUCUAAACACAAACCUGGGAGUGACUCCAUGCCUUAUUGUUGUGUUCACAAUCAAAGUGAGGCAAAGGCAGCUGCUGUGUGAAAAAACUUCCCCUGUCUUCCACUGUCAAAGGCAAAUUGGCUGUCAGGUCUUAAUGGUCAUUAGCCAACCCCUCGGCAUUCCCAGUGGCUGAGAGCAGCUCCCCCACAAAGCCACACAAGCAUCACUCUCACACACCACGUUGACUUCAGCACUGAGGUGCAUCUCAUGCCCUGACUUAUCUUUGUACAUGCUGCCUAUGAAUAAUUCAGGACAUCUCCAGACAAGUUUGCUGUUUCGGUCCAAGUGAAUAAGCAGCAGUAACAAAUUCGAUGCACAAGUGUAGCAACAGACUGCAUAGCUAGUGCAAAGCAAGGAAGGUUUCCAUGGACACAAUUCUGCUCUGUUAGGAGGCUUUAAGAGAGAAAUGCAGCAUGAGUGGAGCAGGUUAAGGACAUAAGAGAAGAUGGACUGCUCCAGAGAGCAGCACCAGUCGUGUUUGCCUGGCCAGUGGGGCAGGAGUGUGUGAUGAGUGAGUGGAGGCAGCUGGCAGGAUAAAGGCUGUGCAAUGUGCCCAUCCCUGCAGUCCGGGGCUGCUCUGAGUUUUGCCAGCGUGCUGUGCCAAUUAACCACUACUGGUGUGACAAUGGGCUGCACUCCUGGCACUGCAGCUGUGCCACAUGCUCAGAGCUCAGGUGCCAAGUCACACCAUGCAGGACAUGGUCACACACAGAUAGACCUGUCCGCAUGAAUCUUUUGGGAGUGUAGACACUUCGUUACAAUAUUGCAUUGUUUUUGGGUACACAGUUUCCUGAUUUUAACUUUUUUUGCCAGAAAUUGUACCAACCAGCUCAGAGGCUUAUGUUAGAAACAUGCAGAAUUCUUGUGACAAUGUGUUUGGCAAGAAUAACACUCAGCAGAUUUCAAGGACAUUUUGACAGGAAACUUUAAGAGACAUUUUCUGUGCUAUAACGAGAAAGAAUAUCCUCCUAUUAACAUGUAUCUAGAUUUUCUCCUUGAUUGUUUGCUUAAUGAUCCCAGCCUUGUUAGCUGCUACCAGGGAAGAUCCAGCAGCUAGAACUGUGAGAUGAAGAAGAUGAAGAAUCAUGGAUUUCUAAAUUAGAAAAGUUCAAAGGUAGAAAUGGGUAAUAAGGAAAUGAAAAGAAAAAUCUUUGUGAUCAUCAUCCAGACUCUAGGGGGAAAUGAAAAAAUCUGCUAUGGAUAGGAGGUACUCUCCAUUCAGCCCUUCAGGUCAAAGGGUUUUCUGAAGUUUCUUUCUUUGAAGAGAGAAAGUAAAAUGAGCAUGGGUUUAGGAAUAAGGGGGAAAGCCCUACAUGUGGAAUACAAAUGGGAAGAGCUGGAAAUGUGGUAUUUGGGUCCCUGUUGGCCUUAAUCAGUGUGGAGAAGAAUGCAGUUCUUUGGGGAGAAUGACUUUACCCUGCCAAAACUUGUCACACCUAAAUUGCUUGAUUGUUUUUGUUAAGCUUCUCUCUUGAACUAUUUGAGUAGCUGAAAGCUGGGCCAGCUUUAGAGGUGGAUUUGGGAAUUUGUUGGGGUUCAGGCUUUGGACCUGUAAAAUCUUUUAUUCUCGUGUGUUUCAGCACAUCUUGUCUCUCCAUUCCAAUGUUUCCUUCAAGUUCUCUGAGCAGGGAUUGUCUCUUACUGUAUUAACACGUCCUCCAUCUGGUAUGAGGGGUCCUACUCUGGGGCAGGGGUGCCUUUCCUGCACAGAGCAUAUCUAACUUUUUAUUUCACAACCAGCUUCUAAAGGUCUUGGUUAUCUUUUAUCUGUUAUUUAGGUAAAGAAUCUACAGCAAACAAUCCUAUAAGUCUUUCCAGCUAUCCGCCAAACUAAUUGAAAAAAGUCUCAUUAAUUUCUUUUGGGCAAUUACUACGCAGUGAAUAAUGUAGUACGUCACUCCAAGCUCCUGUGUAAUGUUUCCUUGCUUUAUGGAUUGUUUCCUAGCAUGCCUGCAGCAGAGCUGUUUAUGUUGUUUUCACUUUGUAAUUUUGUGCAUGAAGAACUACAAUAAACAUAAUUAAAACCAAAUUUCCCUAUCUCUCCUCCUAUAUUUCUUCUCGUGACUCUCCUCUUUUCCUAAUCUUCUUCAUUCUCCUGCUUCCGUCCUCUCAAAUUUAUUCUUCUUUCUUUACUCUUUCUACUUUUCCUUCUGCUUCCCCUCCAUUACCAGUUCUUUUCUGCUCUUUCUUUGUAUUCCAUGUGUUUUCAGAGCCCUCAACGGGCCUACACUUAGCAUAAGCUGGGGUUUCCAAAGAUGACAAGUCUGUGGGUAGAUGCCAAUAUGAUUUGAAGCUGAAACACAAUCACGAAAAAGAUCUACAAACUCUUGCAAAACUGGCUUGUAUAGACUCAUACCUGUGAAUGACUUAUGAGCAGACUGUCUACAAUGCUUGUAUUUUCCAUUUAAGGUGAUCAAAUGUCAUCUUUCCACCAUUCAUCCAGCUGCCUGACUUUGUAUCGAUCAGUAAUUUUCUUUUUAAGGAGAUUUUUGCUACAAUAUUGAGAGCACAGCUGGGUUUUAUUCCCUAAAAUGUCCCUUCUGCAUCUGGGUUUGUGAAUGCAGUCCCUAUUUUAGGGGUCAAGAUUUUAGGGCUCUCCAUGCUUUGUUUCUGCAUGACCACGGGUUGAGCAGCUCAUCCUUGAUCUUCUUUCCCAUCUGCAAGAUGGAGAUAUUGACUUCUUUGUAAAUUACUUGGAGUUCUACAGAUGACAAAAGCCUUUACUGUAAAAAAUG